UUCGCCGUCCGAGUUGUAAUCUGAAGAAGCGUUUUCCGCGCCGGACCGUGUACAAGUCUCUUGGAAUAGAGCCGCAUAGAGGGUGAGAGUCCCGUCCAUGACACGGAUCGCCGGUGCUUUGUGUUACGCUCUCAAAGAGUCGAGUUGUUUGGGAAUGCAGCUCAAAAUGGGUGGUAAAUUCCAUCUAAAGCUAAAUAUUGGCGAGAGACCGAUAGCGAACAAGUACCGUGAGGGAAAGAUGAAAAGCACUUUGGAAAGAGAGUUAAACAGUACGUGAAAUUGUUGAAAGGGAAACGCUUGGAGUCAGUCGCGUCGUCCGGAACUCAGCCUCGCUUCUGCGUGGUGUACUUUCCGUUCGACGGGUCAACAUCGAUUUCGGACGGUGGAGAAGGGCUGGAGGAAGGUGGCACCGCUCGCGGUGUGUUAUAGCCUCUUGUCGUAUGCAUCGACCGGGAUCGAGGACCGCAGCGCGCCAGUAAUGGCCGGGGGUUCGCCCCACGUCACGCGCUUAGGAUGUUGGCAUAAUGGCUUUAAGCGACCCGUCUUGAAACACGGACCAAGGAGUCUAACAUGCUCGCGAGUGUUAGGGUGGAAAACCCUUGCGCGUAAUGAAAGUGAAAGUUGGGACCCUCGUCAUGGGGGGCACCGACGCCCGGCCCUGAAGUUCUCUGACGGUGCUGCGGUGGAGCGCGUAUGUUGGGACCCGAAAGAUGGUGAACUAUGCCUGAAUAGGGCGAAGCCAGAGGAAACUCUGGUGGAGGCUCGUAGCGAUUCUGACGUGCAAAUCGAUCGUCAAAUUUGGG
Molecule: ribosomal RNA, 803 nt
Filed under: Tubulicrinis subulatus
Lineage: Eukaryota; Fungi; Basidiomycota; Agaricomycetes; Hymenochaetales; Tubulicrinaceae
Description: partial large subunit ribosomal RNA
Rfam family: Eukaryotic large subunit ribosomal RNA
Source: RNAcentral